This 378-nucleotide long non-coding RNA is filed under the name Homo sapiens (human). RNAcentral's name for it is "long intergenic non-protein coding RNA 261". The record is from RNAcentral. Lineage: Eukaryota; Metazoa; Chordata; Mammalia; Primates; Hominidae.
CGCGAGCUGGACGCUCCGCAGCCCGCCCGCCAGCCGGCCCGCCGGCCGCCGCAGGAAUCCCUGGAUAAAGACCAGCUCAACCAUCGCUGAGAAAACAGACCUAGGCUUCCCAGGGCGGUUAACCCGCCGGCCUCUGGGCAGAGACUGUAAGUUGGGGUCGUGUUUGGGAGACUCGGGACCCUAUUUCCAAGGAGAACUGUGGGGGACAUGUUUAUGUUUGUUGUUUUCAAAAUCAAGCAAAGGAAACAACAGCCAAUUAAAAUGAAAUAUUUUUAUUCCCCUCGCACGUCGUCAGUGAUUUGCCCCCAGGGAUUCACAAUUUUCCCAAGCCUGUUAACGGGUGACAAUGAGUGAGUGCCUCCUGUAAUUUAAUUUUCC